AACGCGAAGAACCUUACCAGGCCUUGACAUGCAUCUCUAAACCGGUGAAAGCCGGCGAGUGUCGAAAGACACAAUUUGCACAGGUGCUGCAUGGCUGUCGUCAGCUCGUGUCGUGAGAUGUUGGGUUAAGUCCCGCAACGAGCGCAACCCUUGUGAACUGUUGCCACCGGAGCGAGAGCUCCGAGCACUCUGUUCAGACUGCCUCGCUUAAACGAGGAGGAAGGUGAGGAUGACGUCAAGUCAGUAUGGCCCUUACGGCCUGGGCUGCACACGUACUACAAUGCCCAGCACAGAAUGAUCCGAGACCGCGAGGUGGAGGAAAUCUCUAAAACUGGGCCCAGUUCGGAUUGGAGGCUGCAAUUCGCCUCCAUGAAGCCGGAAUCGCUAGUAAUGGCGCAUCAGCUACGGCGCCGUGAAUACGUUCCCGGGCCUUGUA
RNAcentral lists this ribosomal RNA (436 nucleotides) under uncultured Verrucomicrobiota bacterium. Its description in RNAcentral is "bacterial SSU rRNA". It matches the Rfam family "Bacterial small subunit ribosomal RNA", at positions 958 to 1385 of the family's 1533-position model. Lineage: Bacteria; Pseudomonadati; Verrucomicrobiota. The record is from RNAcentral.